RNAcentral lists this ribosomal RNA (657 nucleotides) under uncultured bacterium. RNAcentral describes it as "bacterial SSU rRNA". It matches the Rfam family "Bacterial small subunit ribosomal RNA", at positions 270 to 917 of the family's 1533-position model. The record is from RNAcentral.
AAGGCAACGAUGCAUAGCCGACCUGAGAGGGGUGAUCGGCCACACUGGAACUGAGACACGGUCCAGACUCCUACGGGAGGCAGCAGUAGGGAAUCUUCCGCAAUGGGCGAAAGCCUGACGGAGCAACGCCGCGUGAGUGAUGAAGGUCUUCGGAUCGUAAAACUCUGUUAUUAGGGAAGAACAUAUGUGUAAGUAACUGUGCACAUCUUGACGGUACCUAAUCAGAAAGCCACGGCUAACUACGUGCCAGCAGCCGCGGUAAUACGUAGGUGGCAAGCGUUAUCCGGAAUUAUUGGGCGUAAAGCGCGCGUAGGCGGUUUUUUAAGUCUGAUGUGAAAGCCCACGGCUCAACCGUGGAGGGUCAUUGGAAACUGGAAAACUUGAGUGCAGAAGAGGAAAGUGGAAUUCCAUGUGUAGCGGUGAAAUGCGCAGAGAUAUGGAGGAACACCAGUGGCGAAGGCGACUUUCUGGUCUGUAACUGACGCUGAUGUGCGAAAGCGUGGGGAUCAAACAGGAUUAGAUACCCUGGUAGUCCACGCCGUAAACGAUGAGUGCUAAGUGUUAGGGGGUUUCCGCCCCUUAGUGCUGCAGCUAACGCAUUAAGCACUCCGCCUGGGGAGUACGACCGCAAGGUUGAAACUCAAAGGAAUUGACGGC